UCAUGCCAAAAUCGAGAAGGUGGAUACCGUCAUAGCUCGUAAUUCAAGCAGCCGCCGCCGUAUCUCUGUUUUCCGAUGCACGUAGUCCAAUAGGAAAAUCUCAGUGUUGUUCCAUCGGUGGGUUACUUUUCCCGAGAAAAGUCGUUCUGUUGUUUUCCCCUAAUCUAUAGAUGCUAAUAGAUAUCAAAGUUUCCAACUUUCUGUUCAGCUUUGAUAAUUUAGCUGAUAAUAUCUAUGUUGAUUUAAAAGGUUAUUGCUUUGCAUUUAGCUUUAUGCUGUAAUCCUGUGAAUUUAAUCAAGAAGCUUACAUCUCGAAUUCAUAUUCAGACAGUGAAAAUAUUGGUAGAUUCAAUAUUUGUAUACCUUGUUGUUUUUUUUUGAAACACUUUGUAUACCUUGUUAUCUUCUAGUUAUUUAUAUGAUUUGUGUUAAACUCCUUGAAUUUCAGAAUAAUUUUUGUUUGCGUUUCAACGAAAACUGGCCAAAGCUUUUAAUCUGAAAAUCGUUAAUUAGCUCCUCCUAGCAAGGUAUGUCAUGUUUCAAAGUGUUCCUCUUUGACUUUACCUAAACUUAUGUCUCCA
RNAcentral lists this long non-coding RNA (581 nucleotides) under Brassica rapa (field mustard). RNAcentral describes it as "long non-coding RNA (BRAP_LNC006006)". The record is from RNAcentral. Lineage: Eukaryota; Viridiplantae; Streptophyta; Magnoliopsida; Brassicales; Brassicaceae.